CAAUGCCACAUUUCUUUGUGACCGCAGUAUGGGUUUUCGGUGCCAUUGCUAGGAAUCCCAUGGAUUAGGAGGGUAGAAGGAGGAGGGAUGGGAUUUUGGAGGGUUUAAGAAUGGAGCCAAGAGAGGGUUGAAGUGGGGUAAGCUCAGAAGUGAGUUAAUAGGAUUUUGAAAAAGUUGGAUGGUUUAACUCAAAAACUAGGCCCCU
Molecule: long non-coding RNA, 205 nt
Filed under: Elaeis guineensis (African oil palm)
Lineage: Eukaryota; Viridiplantae; Streptophyta; Magnoliopsida; Arecales; Arecaceae
Description: long non-coding RNA (EGUI_LNC051343)
Source: RNAcentral